This 207-nucleotide ribosomal RNA is filed under the name uncultured bacterium. RNAcentral's name for it is "partial 16S ribosomal RNA". It matches the Rfam family "Bacterial small subunit ribosomal RNA", at positions 568 to 774 of the family's 1533-position model. The record is from RNAcentral.
CGUGUAGGCGGCUAUGCAGGUCCGCUGUGAAAACUCGAGGCUCAACCUCGAGACGUCGGUGGAAACCGCAUGGCUAGAGUCCGGAAGAGGAGAGUGGAAUUCCCGGUGUAGCGGUGAAAUGCGCAGAUAUCGGGAAGAACACCCGUGGCGAAGGCGGCUCUCUGGGACGGUACUGACGCUGAGACGCGAAAGCGUGGGGAGCGAACA